GUGGAGAUGGCUUAGCGGUCUAAGGCACCAGAUUAAGGGUCUGGUCUGAAAGGGCGUGGGUUCAAAUCCCAUUGUCCACA
Molecule: transfer RNA, 80 nt
Filed under: Setaria italica (foxtail millet)
Lineage: Eukaryota; Viridiplantae; Streptophyta; Magnoliopsida; Poales; Poaceae
Rfam family: tRNA
About the family: Transfer RNA (tRNA) molecules are approximately 80 nucleotides in length.
Source: Rfam by way of RNAcentral